Molecule: non-coding RNA, 258 nt
Organism: Paramuricea clavata
Lineage: Eukaryota; Metazoa; Cnidaria; Anthozoa; Malacalcyonacea; Plexauridae
Source: the annotation of a GenBank genome assembly
GCUGGCCCUACUAGGCGAGAUCCUGUGUGCUAUUUGAAAUCCUUAUUAAAAAUUGUUUACGUUUACAUGAGAAGAGGGCCAGCCCUCCUAGGCGAGAUCUCACUAUUAUUCACCCGAGAUCUCGCCUAGUAGGGCUGGAAUUUUCUCAUAUAAACGCAGUAGAGAGGGCUGGCCCUCCUAGUAGGGCUGAGUGAAAAAGCCGUCGAAUCGAUUUUAGACUAAACUCUUUGAAGCUUUUUUUUGUUUUAAGGAUGUAGU